This 324-nucleotide ribosomal RNA is filed under the name Triticum aestivum (bread wheat). Its description in RNAcentral is "partial small subunit ribosomal RNA". Lineage: Eukaryota; Viridiplantae; Streptophyta; Magnoliopsida; Poales; Poaceae. The record is from RNAcentral.
AUGAACCGCAACAUAUGUCAAAGUGGACCUCAUUGCUAUCUUGUUGUUCCUUUUAAAAAAAUCACACUUUCAUGUCGGGCGCAAGUGAACGACAUCGCUCGUAAAAGUAAACCACACCCGAGGACCAAACGCACUACAAGUGUUGAUGUAGUCGAUUUUGAGACACACAAAACAAAUUGCACUUCAUACAGAGGGGCAAUGAGCUGCUACACAAAUUGGAGUGAACUACUUUUUGUCUUCUUCAAACAAAAUUAUUCAAGAUAUCAUGGUAGUACUGUGGAUGGGAGACUAGGGAACCGCACCAAAACACACCUGAGUUUUUAA